CUUGCCUACGGGACGCAGCAGUGAGGAAUAUUGGUCAAUGGGCGGAAGCCUGAACCAGCCAAGUCGCGUGAGGGAAUAAGGCCCUACGGGUCGUAAACCUCUUUUGCCGGGGAGCAAGGGCCGGGACGCGUCCCGGCCCGGAGAGUACCCGGAGAAAAAGCAUCGGCUAACUCCGUGCCAGCAGCCGCGGUAAUACGGAGGAUGCGUGCGUUAUCCGGAUUUAUUGGGUUUAAAGGGUGCGUAGUCGGGCUUUUAAGUCCGCGGUAAAAAUUCGGGGCUC
Molecule: ribosomal RNA, 280 nt
Filed under: uncultured bacterium
Lineage: Bacteria
Description: partial 16S ribosomal RNA
Rfam family: Bacterial small subunit ribosomal RNA
Source: RNAcentral